UUCGCCAGGGAACAACGAGCCCCAGCUUAAAACCCAAAGGACUUGGCGGUGCUUUAGACCCCCCUAGAGGAGCCUGUUCUAGAACCGAUACUCCCCGUUCAACCUCACCCUCCCUUGUUUUCCCCGCCUAUAUACCGCCGUCGUCAGCUUACCCUGUGAGGGAUAAAUAGUAAGCAGAAUUGGCACAGCCCAAAACGUCAGGUCGAGGUGUAGCGUACGAGAGGGGAAGAAAUGGGCUACAUUUACUAUGCCUAGUAGAUACGGAUGUUGCACUGAAAUAAGCAUCUGAAGGAGGAUUUAGCAGUAAGGGAGGAAUAGAGCGCCCCCCUGAAAAUGGCCCUGAAGCGCGCACACACCGCCCGUCACUCUCCCCAACCCCCGCACCCAAUAAAUAAUAUGAUUAAGCCCAACUACAAGGGGAGGCAAGUCGUAACAUGGUAAGUGUACCGGAAGGUGCGCUUGGAAAAACC
Molecule: ribosomal RNA, 470 nt
Filed under: Ptereleotris carinata (Panamic dartfish)
Lineage: Eukaryota; Metazoa; Chordata; Actinopteri; Gobiiformes; Gobiidae
Description: partial 12S ribosomal RNA
Rfam family: Bacterial small subunit ribosomal RNA
Source: RNAcentral